RNAcentral lists this long non-coding RNA (1206 nucleotides) under Pan troglodytes (chimpanzee). Its description in RNAcentral is "long non-coding RNA NONPTRT011658". Lineage: Eukaryota; Metazoa; Chordata; Mammalia; Primates; Hominidae. The record is from RNAcentral.
GGGAGGCAGCCUCGAUCUGAGGGCCCCGGCGCUGCGGCCACGCCCAUCGCCUCCAGCCCAGCUCGCCCAUUGGCUAACCAGGCUCCGAGAGAUCUGAGCUUCGCUGUCUCCCGGAUCGGACGCUCGCAGCUCCGUUCCCGGGCUGGGGCUCCGUGCCGUCCAGGGCCGGGUCUGGGGGCCAGGACCUGCUGGGAUGACGUGAGUUGAGGAGGCUCAGCGGAAAGCGACAGGAAAGGUGGGUGGAAAAGGAAAGGGCCCAUUAGACGAAUCUGAUUCAUCUUCUGUGACUAAGCACCCGCAACAGGUAGGAAUUUAGGGCAGAGCUGGUGAUUCUGGGACAAUAGCACUUCCUAGGGUAAUUCGUCUUAAAAAGUUAAAGAAGCUGCUUGACCACAAAGUAUGAACUUCUGGAGGGCGGGGCCCGUGGCAGCUGACAGGGAAUAUUGUGUGUUGAGAAAGGAAAUGAGUUCCAAGGAUACCAAGGACAACAUUACCAGAGGCAGAAAUGACACGAGAUACAAAAGAACGUAUUCAAAAAUUUAACAAAACAGAAAUGGAAAAUUAUUUUAAAAUAUAUUGAAAUAUCAACGAAUAACACCUCAAAUGUACAGGGAUAUGUAAAGCAGCAACUCGGGUCGGAAGCAAGGAAUCGAGGCGUUGGGUGUGUUUAAACUUGACGAGGUAGGGAGAAGAGACCCUGGUACAAACUCCUUCAGAAUCGUUGACUCUCGGUCCUUUCUAGUAUAUUUUUUUAGUAGAACAACGUGCAGAUAAGUGUUUAAAAUGCAGAUCUUCCUUAAGGAAACACUUUUAAAGGCAACAGAGGGGAAUUUUUUUUUAAGUUAAAAUGGAAGAAGUUAGUGGGUUUAACAGAUAUGAACAACUGAGUUUCCUUUGGGGGAGAGGCAAUGAAAAGAGCCGGAGUACUUUAGGGAUCACUUUGGAGAGGAUAUUGUAGUGGGGGAAAGGAAGGUUAAAAACUUAGGAAGCAGAGUAGUACCUUUAAAGUCGUCAGUACUUUAUAUACCAUCAACUGGGCUAUGGACAACAGAAGCUGUGCCUGGAAAUAACUCACACUGAAGGUUAACUUGAAUAUAAAUUUAGAACAGAUCUUAAAUACAAAUGAUGAUGUUCAUUAUAAACUGUUAUUCUUCAAAGACUCAUUUAACUGAAGUAACAUUGUAUUUGCAUACCAGAGCACUGGUG